This is an RNA transcript of Siniperca chuatsi (mandarin fish), 3442 nucleotides long. It is a transcript of the gene named telomere repeat binding bouquet formation protein 1, with no coding region annotated. The record is from RefSeq and is a predicted model, not a curated record. The transcript has 20 exons. Lineage: Eukaryota; Metazoa; Chordata; Actinopteri; Centrarchiformes; Sinipercidae.
CAAUGGCAGGUGUUAUGCGUUUUGCAUCAAGCGUUAUCUGGUAGUUAACUAGCCCUCUUCUUUCCCUCAGCUAGCAAUGUAAAAUCAUAUAGGUUACAUGACACAUCAUUUUUUUCAGCUGAAAUUUUGCUAAAUCAUAGUGUAUAAAGACACACAUAAUAUUUCUAGUUUAUCAGUUGUCCUCUCUAUUACCGAUGAGCUUGGCUCAUAGCGUUAGUAAACGUGCAGUUUAUUUGCAAGUGGGCCGCACCCUGUUUGUUUCUAUGGUAACGCAAAGUGCCGACGUUCUAUCACCAACUGUAAUGAUUCCUGAAAGACAAACACAAUAGCUAGCUAACAUUGGCUAAAGUUAAUGUUUUGUCACCUUAACUUACCCUAACCUUUGUUCAGAGAAAGUUUGGGAUUUGCUACUAAUGAAGCAAAAGUUUGGAUAUUAGCUUGAAGAAAAAUUGUACUUUGAAAGAUAAGCUGGCUUAGCCGAAGUUAAUUUAGCUGAAUAUUUAUUUUUUGUUAGCUAGCUAGAUAGCGUUAGUUUUGAGAAUAGCAUUUCUUAAUGUUAGCACAAAAUUACGCUAGAUUGGCUCGACGUGGGGAAUAAGAGAUGCUAUUCCUGUAAUAUUAAGUUAGCCAUACUGUUACUUAGGUGACAUUUAACCGUUGUUAAUGUUUUUUAAACCACUUUAAAGAGUGAAAUGGAUAAGACAGCGGUUUGCAGCAACACCUGUAAUACCACAAGGACAGAUCUCAGUUUACUGCUUGAGUGUUUGAAGUUUCAGAUGAAAUGUCCUGAUUUGCAAAAACAAGCUCUUCUCGCCAUUCACUCAAUCUGUGAAAAGAGAGAGGAUAAUGUGGACCUGCUGAGAGAAAUGGGGGGUGUGGCAUUUGUGUAUAACCUCUCCAAAUCCAGUAUUGUUCAUUCAGAUGUUAAGGAGACUGCACUCUUUACGCUUGGCACGCUAGCAGAAGCCAAUGUGUAUUGCAAGAAUUCUCUGUGCAGAAAAGAGACCUUUGUAGACCUUGCUGGUUGGUUGAUGAAAGAAGACAUCCCGCUGACACAGAAGACAGUGUCUGUCUAUUUGCUGUCUGUGUUGGUAGCCAACAACAAAACAGGACAGACUUUAGCUCAAACCACUGGCUGCCUGGAUAUUCUACUGGACCUCUUCAGGGCCACUUUCCCCCUCUCCACAGAGGCUACUUUGAGAGCAGCUAAUGCUACUCAAACCUACAAACUUUGGGCAUCUGUGUCUAGUGCCCUCUGUGGAUGUGUCAACAACCCUCAGAAUGAUGAGGGUCAGCGUAUUUGUGUGGCAGCCUUUCCCAUAAUAAAAAUCUGGCUUCAGCAGAUUGAUUUGCCACGCACUGAGAUUUUUCAACCCAUAUGUUCCUUCAUAGCAAUGACAGUUGCCAACAACUCCUGUGUUCAGGAGAGUUUUUCUGUCUCAGGGGGUCUGGAUACUCUCACUCUUGCACUGGUUUGUCUUGCUUCUGCAGCAGAUACAAGCUUGUUGUUUUGCCAGCUUUCUGUCAUUAUAUCCAAGACCCUGUCAGCUUGCAUCACAGAUAACUCUUCUCUGGCUUCAGGUCUGGCUCAGUAUGGUGUGGUCUCCCACCUCUUCUCCCUGCUGGCUAGCCCACAUCUGGACCCUGAGGACAGGCUCUCUAUUUUACUCACCCUGGGCCACUGCACUGAGGCCUCUGAGGAGCAACAGUCCCAGUUGGUGCAGUGCGGAGGCCUGCCCCAUAUCAUAACGCUACUCACAGACGAUACAAGUGAGGAGGUUAGGAAGGCUGCUACAUUCAUAUUGCAGACCUGCAAACAGGCCACCAUGUCCUUGGGAGUACCUGGUCUAAUAGCGAGACAGGGGGAGGGUGAAAAUGUGGAGCCCCUUACAAACAUGGAAGGCUUCAGGACCUCAGCAAGAGAGUUGCUGCACAGAAUUGGCCUGCUAGAGAAGAGACAGGCAAAGGAGGCUGAGGAUAAGCAAGAAUACACAGACACAUCAACUUCCACUGAAGAGCUAGGCCAACCAUCUCUACUUCCUGCCUUACCUCUGCCUCUGCAGACAAAGGAGAACAUUAAAACCAUCCCCACAGCAUAUAGACAGACCAGCACUCUUAAGCAUGUAGAAGCAGGGGGUGACAACAACAUUAAACCUCAAACUGUCAGACACGUGCUCAAGAAUGGGCAAGACAGUGAACUGAAGAACAUGAACUCCAAUUUAAGUAUGCAGGAAGAGAGGGCUAAAACCAAUGGAGGGGAUGUGUGGUGUUCAGUGUGCAAGGGUACUGGAGCUCUAAUGUCUUCCCAUCUGCGAUCAAUAGAGGGAGGCAGAGAGCCUCAUACAGCAGACAAUCAGUUGUUUAAGCCCCCAGCACCAGUGAGGCACAGUGUACCAAAAGAGAUUAAAUGCACUGAUGAAGAAGAAUUGCAGGGCCGUGAGAUGAGUAAGGUGGGGAAAAUCCCAGUGGAGGAACAUUCACUCUCUCAUAUCCGGUGUGCAGGUUGUGUGUUGCCUUUUGAGGAGGUGACCAGUCGCACUUUUAUGUCUCUCCAAAGCUCCUUCCACCACAACUGUGACAUGCACAAGGCUCUCCAGGAGGCCACAGAGCGGUUCAGGACUCAUCACUGCAACCUUCUGUUCAGGAGAGAGUACCAAGACAACACUGUGGAGCAGACAGACCCAGACUCUGAGAGAGUGUCAGCACCAGAGCCACAGAGAGGCUGGGAAAACUUGAGCGAAGAGGUCUGCCUGACUCCUGUACGUAAAGGAGCAGGGAAAGGCAAGAGCUCCCUGCCAGAACAUCACUGGAAGAAGCACAAUGGCAUCAGUUUGACUCCACUGCACAGAGGAGCUAAAAAGGACAUGUUGACCUCUUAUAACAAGACCGGUCCAGGCUUAACUCCCCAGAAAAAGUCUCGUCUUCCUGAAGAGAAGGAAGAGGAAAGACUUCAGCCGUGAAGAGGUGCAUUACCUACUGUGCGGAGUGAAGACUUUUGGCUUCUCCUGGAACUCCAUCUUGUGGUCAUACCCCUUCCAACCUGGACGCUCCAAUGUUGACCUGGCCAAGAAAUACAGGCGGCUAAUGAAAGGUAAAGUCCAGGAUGCUGGCUGUGCAUAAUCCUGGUCCUGAGAUCCUGGGCAAACCCAUUGAUAAUGGUUCUCUGUUAAUAUUAGAUUUUAUUUAUUUAGAUAAUAAAAUACCUUCACUCUCUUCAGUUUAAAACUCUGUAUUUAUUGGAAAAAAUCCAAAGAAGCAUUUACUUCACUACAUACUUAUAAUAUAUUGUACUCAGUAUUUAUAUAGAUUUUUAGUACUUUGUAUAUGGUUUGCACUGUCUUAAAAAUUGUUUUUGCAGCAGUUUUUAGAGCUUUGACAGAUAUUGUUAAUUGUUUCUUUUUAUCAUAUUUUAAAGCAUUAAAACAGGUGUUUGAGAUUCUGA